This 254-nucleotide ribosomal RNA is filed under the name uncultured bacterium. Its description in RNAcentral is "partial 16S ribosomal RNA". It matches the Rfam family "Bacterial small subunit ribosomal RNA", at positions 524 to 776 of the family's 1533-position model. The record is from RNAcentral.
UACGGGGGGGGCAAGCGUUGUUCGGAAUUACUGGGCGUAAAGGGCUCGUAGGCGGCCAACUAAGUCAGACGUGAAAUCCCUCGGCUUAACCGGGGAACUGCGUCUGAUACUGGAUGGCUUGAGGUUGGGAGAGGGGUGCGGAAUUCCAGGUGUAGCGGUGAAAUGCGUAGAUAUCUGGAGGAAUACCGGUGGCGAAGGCGGCAUCCUGGACCGGCAUUGACGCUGAGUGAGCGAAAGCUAGGGGAGCAAACGGG